Molecule: RNA transcript, 1670 nt
Organism: Candoia aspera
Lineage: Eukaryota; Metazoa; Chordata; Lepidosauria; Squamata; Candoiidae
Gene: KHDRBS3
Gene name: KH RNA binding domain containing, signal transduction associated 3
Exons: 12
Source: RefSeq, a predicted model, not a curated record
CCUCCUCCGUCCCUUUGGAUCCGUGGCCUCGGGGAGGACGGGCGCCCGUGUUUCGGCCGGGGAAGGGCGCCGCCGGGGCCGCUUCGGUUCCCCGCGCGUUCUCGGCUCCUGCCUGCGGAGGCUUCUUGGCCGAGGAGAAGGAAGAGGAGGAUUUACCGGCUUCCCGGCUGCGGCCGCACCGUCUGGCGUGGCUUUCCCCCUUCCGGCGUGUCGAAGCGAGUAGUCCGGUCCCCCCAGCAGGGCAGGCGGGCGGGCCAUGGAGGAGAAGUACCUGCCCGAGCUGAUGGCGGAGAAGGACUCCCUGGAUCCGUCCUUCACCCACGCGCUGCGCCUGGUCAACCAAGAAAUCGAUAAAUUCCAGAAAGGAGAAGACAAAGAAGAAGAAAAGUACAUUGAUGUGGUGAUUAAUAAAAACAUGAAACUGGGACAAAAAGUAUUAAUUCCAGUAAAGCAAUUUCCUAAGUUCAACUUUGUGGGGAAACUUUUGGGCCCGCGUGGCAAUUCUCUGAAGCGCUUGCAAGAAGAGACAUUGACAAAAAUGUCAAUAUUGGGGAAAGGAUCCAUGAGGGACAAAGCAAAGGAAGAAGAGUUGAGGAAAAGUGGAGAAGCAAAGUACUUCCACCUAAAUGAUGAUCUGCAUGUUUUAAUUGAAGUGUUUGCCCCACCAGCAGAAGCAUACGCCAGAAUGGGACAUGCACUGGAAGAAAUUAAGAAAUUUCUCAUUCCUGACUACAAUGAUGAAAUCCGACAAGCACAGUUGCAGGAAUUAACUUACUUGAACGGGGGCUCAGAGAAUGCAGAGGUUCCAGUAGUCCGUGGAAAGCCUCCUUUACGGGCACGGGGAGGCCUCUCUCCUGCUUUGGCAAGAGCCCGUGGGGGUGUGCUGCCCCCACCCUCAAGCAUACCCAGAGGAGCACCAGCACCCAGGGGAGUUCCCUCCGGCAGAGGUCCCGUAAGCCGUGGCCGUAGCCUACUAACGUCCAGGGCCAGAGGAGUUCCUCCAUCUGCAGGAUACCGGCCUCUUCCACUACCCCCAGCACAGGAUACAUAUGGGGAAUAUGAAUAUGAUGAUGGAUAUGGCACUUCAUACGAUGAGCAGAGCUAUGAUUCCUACGAUAACAGCUAUAGCACUUCGGCACAGAGCGGUGGCGAUUACUAUGACUAUGCCCAUGGCUUGAACGACGAGACAUACGAUUCUUACAGACAGGAAGAGUGGACCCACUCGAGACACAAGGCUCCUUCAGCAAGGUCAACAAAAGGAACCUAUAGAGAGCAGCCAUAUGCAAGAUACUGAUUACACUGUCCGAUGUUGUGAAAUGCCCAAUCUCCACCAGUCCUGUAAACUGUUCAAAAGUUUUGAUACCUUAAUGACAACCUCACUCCGUGCUGGAAGCAAUAAACCCAAAGCUUUUAAAGACUUUCUGACUUGACUAAUUGCGGUCGCUUUCGUCAAAGGCAGAGGAUGUGUAACCCUUAAAACGGUCUUCAUUUGCAAAGGAGUCACAUGGAAUGUAUGGAGGCCAAAGAGACCUGUUUCUCUUGAUACUUUGGGAUUUUGGUCACUGAUAUGGACAACUUCAAAAUACUUCCCUCACCAUCGUGCCUCCAAAAUUACAGCCAGCCUGUAUAUGAAACUCCAGUAUGAUUUAUUUUAUUUUAUUUUUUUUAUG